GACGAACGCUGGCGGCGCGCCUAACACAUGCAAGUCGAACGAGCGAGAGAGAGCUUGCUUUCUCAAGCGAGUGGCGAACGGGUGAGUAACGCGUGAGGAACCUGCCUCAAAGAGGGGGACAACAGUUGGAAACGACUGCUAAUACCGCAUAAGCCCACAGGUCGGCAUCGACCAGAGGGAAAAGGAGCAAUCCGCUUUGAGAUGGCCUCGCGUCCGAUUAGCUAGUUGGUGAGGUAACGGCCCACCAAGGCAACGAUCGGUAGCCGGACUGAGAGGUUGAACGGCCGCAUUGGGACUGAGACACGGCCCAGACUCCUACGGGAGGCAGCAGUGGGGAAUAUUGCACAAUGGGGGAAACCCUGAUGCAGCGACGCCGCGUGGAGGAAGAAGGUCUUCGGAUUGUAAACUCCUGUUGUUGAGGAAGAUAAUGACGGUACUCAACAAGGAAGUGACGGCUAACUACGUG
This 466-nucleotide ribosomal RNA is filed under the name uncultured bacterium. Its description in RNAcentral is "partial 16S ribosomal RNA". It matches the Rfam family "Bacterial small subunit ribosomal RNA", at positions 28 to 507 of the family's 1533-position model. The record is from RNAcentral.